UACAGAGGUUCCAAGCGUUGUUCGGAUUCACUGGGCGUAAAGGGUGCGUAGGUGGUCGGGUAAGUCUGAUGUGAAAUCUCCGAGCCUAACUCGGAAACUGCAUCGGAUACUAUUCGGCUUGAGGGCUGGAGGGGGGACUGGAAUACUUGGUGUAGCAGUGAAAUGCGUAGAUAUCAAGUGGAACACCAGUGGCGAAGGCGAGUCCCUGGACAACUCCUGACACUGAGGCACGAAAGCUAGGGGAGCAAACAGG
RNAcentral lists this ribosomal RNA (253 nucleotides) under uncultured bacterium. Its description in RNAcentral is "partial 16S ribosomal RNA". It matches the Rfam family "Bacterial small subunit ribosomal RNA", at positions 524 to 776 of the family's 1533-position model. The record is from RNAcentral.